CCUACGGGAGGCAGCAGUGGGGAAUAUUGCACAAUGGGGGAAACCCUGAUGCAGCGACGCCGCGUGAGUGAAGAAGUAAUUCGUUACGUAAAGCUCUAUCAGCAGGGAAGAAACACUGACCUUACGGUCAGCAGACGGUACCUGAGUAAGAAGCCCCGGCUCACUACGUGCCAGCAGCCGCGGUAAUACGUAGGGGGCAAGCGUUAUCCGGAUUUACUGGGUGUAAAGGGAGCGUAGACGGUGCGCCAAGUCUGGGGUGAAAUGCCGCAGCUUAACUGCGGAACUGCUUUGGAAACUGGCGAACUAGAGUGCGGGAGGGGUAAGCGGAAUUCCUAGGGUAGCGGUGAAAUGCGUAGAUAUUAGGAGGAACACCGGUGGCGAAGGCGGCUUACUGGACCGUAACUGACGUUGAGGCUCGAAAGCGUGGGGAGCAAACAGGAUUAGAUACCCUGGUAGUC
RNAcentral lists this ribosomal RNA (458 nucleotides) under uncultured bacterium. RNAcentral describes it as "partial 16S ribosomal RNA". It matches the Rfam family "Bacterial small subunit ribosomal RNA", at positions 338 to 795 of the family's 1533-position model. The record is from RNAcentral.